GAAAACCACAGUAAGGAAUGAAAAGAACACUGUUUCCACAUAGCAGAAAGAAGAAAAGAAGAGACUCAGAAGGUGGGCAGGCUUGGGUGGUUCUAAUGCACCUGAAUUGAUUUUCUCCUUUGGCUUGCUUCAGGCCAAAACAAUGUGAACUGAGCUAAAGAUGACCACAACCCCAACUUUCUACGACAGACAAAUGGACAGUGAACCCUUUAGAGGACUUGGCUUCUGUUGCUGUCUGGAUAAAUAAAUGAUUCCUCCACUGAAAUGAUCUGGGAAGCCUGCAUGUGUCAGAUAUCCAUGUGCAUCUGGAUCUUUUGGAUUGGUCCAUUUAUCUUCUACAAGACAUUCUGCCUGCAGUAAUGCAGUACAAAGAGAACACAUUAUAUUUUCUGUGUGUUUUGACCAGGCUCACAAGAAGCAUUUCCUCUUGGAUCGCUUCAGUGGUUAUUUAAUAAAGCUACCC
Long non-coding RNA from Podarcis raffonei (Aeolian wall lizard), 463 nucleotides. RefSeq lists it as uncharacterized. The record is from RefSeq and is a predicted model, not a curated record. Lineage: Eukaryota; Metazoa; Chordata; Lepidosauria; Squamata; Lacertidae. The transcript is spliced from 3 exons.